CCAUCCUGGCUUGGAUGUCAGUAAUUAGUCAGGGCUACCUUUGAACUCAUAGGUCUCGUGUUUCAUCCUUCUGAGUUCAAGACCAACAGUAGAUGAUGUACUCCUGAUGUGUGCUCCUUUAUAGACAUGUUUUAACAAUGUUAAUAUUAACAUGGUUAAUAGAAGAUAAGAAAAUACUUCAUGUGUCUAUCCCAAGAAGUGUUUACAUCUGUCUGGUGGAGAUAUAAUAAAAUAGAAUGAUCAGCAAUCAUCUGUUUAUCUCAUAACAAAACUUGUUGUAUUAUGGAUAUGUAUAUAGUUUUUAACAUUCCUGCUUCUUCAUGAUCCAGUUUUUAUCCAUUUGGCACUCAUCUUGAAGUAUUUCCUCCUAAAGGAAUUAUCUACAGAUGCCAGCCCUGUUCACAUGUGAUCAAGGUCAGGUUUCCAGUCUUGCACACAACAUCACAUCGUUUAUUCUGGGGGAGUAAACACUUGUGUACCAGCACCGAUGUCCCCAGGAGCCAGGGAGAUGAAAUGCCAACUCAAGGGAUGAUUCGAUGAGCCACCACAUCUGCUGUUCCCAUUGUAGAAAACUUGUCAAGGCAGUGAAGGAACCUCUCACAUUUGAUUGUAACUGCAAGACCAAACAAGGAAAAUGGGUGCAUGACAAGGACAGGGCCCUGAAACCAUUACUACAGCGACUCCAUCAAAGACCUCAGCAAUGAAGAAAAGUGACUAGAAAAGGUAAGGUAACGAAAAAGG
RNAcentral lists this long non-coding RNA (741 nucleotides) under Cricetulus griseus (Chinese hamster). RNAcentral describes it as "lncRNA (ENSCGRG00015039642.1)". Lineage: Eukaryota; Metazoa; Chordata; Mammalia; Rodentia; Cricetidae. The record is from RNAcentral.